GGGCCUUUAGCUCAGCGGUCAGAGCAGCCGGCUCAUAACCGGUUGGUCCGGGGUUCGAAUCCCUGAAGGCCCACCA
This 76-nucleotide transfer RNA is filed under the name Caldicoprobacter algeriensis. RNAcentral's name for it is "tRNA-Ile". It matches the Rfam family "tRNA". Rfam says of the family: Transfer RNA (tRNA) molecules are approximately 80 nucleotides in length. Their secondary structure includes four short double-helical elements and three loops (D, anti-codon, and T loops). Further hydrogen bonds mediate the characteristic L-shaped molecular structure. tRNAs have two regions of fundamental functional importance: the anti-codon, which is responsible for specific mRNA codon recognition, and the 3' end, to which the tRNAs corresponding amino acid is attached (by aminoacyl-tRNA synthetases). tRNAs cope with the degeneracy of the genetic code in two manners: having more than one tRNA (with a specific anti-codon) for a particular amino acid; and 'wobble' base-pairing, i.e. permitting non-standard base-pairing at the 3rd anti-codon position. Lineage: Bacteria; Bacillati; Bacillota; Clostridia; Caldicoprobacterales; Caldicoprobacteraceae. The record is from RNAcentral. RNAcentral also lists the same sequence under 3 other names.